GCUUUUCUGUAAAAAUAUAAAGAUAAGCUCUGGUGGACUUGGUUCUAUGGUUGGUCUCAAAGGGUUAAUAAAUAAUUAUCUGAAUCUUAUAACCAAAGUGGUCAUCUGAUGUAAAAUGUAUAGAAAUCAUAUAUAUGUACCAACAAGACAGUGUACAUCACUGUCACAACAGCGUUCGUUUUCAUUCAAGGGCUUUAUGGCUUUUCCUGUAAUACCUGGUGGGCCGGUCUGUAGUCGAAAUGCACGGGCCGUUUUUUUUGUCCCAGUCCAGCCCUGUUGGCAUGUGUAGUACGUGUCACAAUCAUAUUUUCUUUUAAUCAGUGCACAUGUUAUAAAAAAUAAUUUGAAAUCUAAGUGUGUGCUGUAAAUGCAUUGUUAUUCAUUAUCAUGGUGGAGCUAAAAUUGAGGGGACAUUGAUGGGGAUCUACCAUUUCACCAAAGCUGAGUGUUUGUAAUCUCACAGGUGAAAACAUAUAUGUAGUUUGCUUUAUAUGAGAUUUCCCAGUUUAAUGUGUAAAACAGUAUUUGUUUAUCCAUCAGCUGAUUUAACAAGACUGAGCUGAUGAACCUGACUUUGUUGUCUAUCAGGAAUAUUUUGAUAUUAAGAUUUUGCUGGAUUUUGUGUUUGAUAAAUAUUUGCAUUUGCUGGUAUGAUCAUAUGAUUAUUAUUAGACUGCAUUUGUCUGUAUCACUAUUGAUUUAGAUUUUUACGUGUGUGUUUAUUGUAAAUUGAACACACCUGCUUCCACACCACAAACAACAACAGCAACACAGAGUGAAAGUUUCACUCCAGGAGGCUCUACACCUUCAUCAGAUUGUCCUGACUCCUCCUGGCUUCUGGUUGUGCGUGCGUCCUUGGAUGGUGUUUUGCUGAUGGCUGUUUUCCUCAUGCUCUUCUACAUUAGUAAGACAAGGAGGAACUUUGGACUGAACACCAGAGAAAAUGACACAAAGAUGGAGGAUCCACCCUCCAGACAUAAAGAGUCCAAAAGGACCAGGGCCAAACCUACUCUGCAUUUUUAAAGACCAAAAUCUAAUAAUUGUAAACUUUACCUGUUUUACAUUUGGCCGAUGUACUGGCUUAUCUUCUUUUCCAACAAUGAUUUCAUUUUGAUAUUUUU
RNAcentral lists this long non-coding RNA (1121 nucleotides) under Oreochromis niloticus (Nile tilapia). RNAcentral describes it as "lncRNA (ENSONIG00000028587.1)". The record is from RNAcentral. Lineage: Eukaryota; Metazoa; Chordata; Actinopteri; Cichliformes; Cichlidae.